AUUGAACGCUGGCGGCAUGCCUUACACAUGCAAGUCGAACGGCAGCACGGGAGCAAUCCUGGUGGUGAGUGGCGAACGGGUGAGUAAAGUAUCGGAACGUGCCCAGUCGUGGGGGAUAACGUAGCGAAAGUUACGCUAAUACCGCAUACGAUCUAUGGAUGAAAGCGGGGGAUCGCAAGACCUCGCUCGAUUGGAGCGGCCGAUAUCAGAGUAGGUAGUUGGUGGGGUAAAGGCUCACCAAGCCGACGAUCUGUAGCUGGUCUGAGAGGACGACCAGCCACACUGGGACUGAGACACGGCCCAGACUCCUACGGGAGGCAGCAGUGGGGAAUUUUGGACAAUGGGCGAAAGCCUGAUCCAGCCAUGCCGCGUGCAGGAUGAAGGCCUUCGAGUUGUAAACUGCUUUUAUACGGAACGAAAAGGUUUGGCCUAAUAAGCUGAGCUCAUGACGGUGCCGUAAGAAUAAGCACCGGCUAACUACGUGCCAGCCGCCGCCGUAA
This 500-nucleotide ribosomal RNA is filed under the name uncultured bacterium. RNAcentral describes it as "partial 16S ribosomal RNA". It matches the Rfam family "Bacterial small subunit ribosomal RNA", at positions 30 to 523 of the family's 1533-position model. The record is from RNAcentral.